RNAcentral lists this ribosomal RNA (497 nucleotides) under uncultured bacterium. RNAcentral's name for it is "partial 16S ribosomal RNA". It matches the Rfam family "Bacterial small subunit ribosomal RNA", at positions 28 to 507 of the family's 1533-position model. The record is from RNAcentral.
GAUGAACGCUGGCGGCGUGCCUAAUACAUGCAAGUCGAGCGAACAGAUGAGGAGCUUGCUCCUCUGACGUUAGCGGCGGACGGGUGAGUAACACGUGGAUAACCUACCUAUAAGACUGGGAUAACUUCGGGAAACCGGAGCUAAUACCGGAUAAUAUAUUGAACCGCAUGGUUCAAUAGUGAAAGACGGUUUUGCUGUCACUUAUAGAUGGAUCCGCGCCGCAUUAGCUAGUUGGUAAGGUAACGGCUUACCAAGGCAACGAUGCGUAGCCGACCUGAGAGGGUGAUCGGCCGCACUUGAACGGAGACACGGUCCAGACUCCUACGGGAGGCAGCAGUAGGGAAUCGUCGGCAAUGGGCGAAAACAUGGCAGAGCAACGCCGCGUGAGUGAUGAAGGUCUUCGGAUCGUAAAACCCGGUUAUUAGGGAAAAACAAAUGUGUAAGUAACCAUGCACGGCUUGACGGUAACUAAUCAGAAAGCCACGGCUAACUACGUG